Molecule: ribosomal RNA, 771 nt
Filed under: Mycobacterium sp. R21
Lineage: Bacteria; Bacillati; Actinomycetota; Actinomycetes; Mycobacteriales; Mycobacteriaceae
Description: bacterial LSU rRNA
Rfam family: Bacterial large subunit ribosomal RNA
Source: RNAcentral
AUCCUCUGCUGCCAAGAAAAGCCUCUAGCGAGCACACACACGGCCCGUACCCCAAACCAACACAGGUGGUCAGGUAGAGCAUACCAAGGCGUACGAGAUAACUAUGGUUAAGGAACUCGGCAAAAUGCCCCCGUAACUUCGGGAGAAGGGGGGCCGGAAUACCGUGAACACCCUUGCGGUGGGAGCGGGAUUCGGCCGCAGAAAAUAGUGGGUAGCGACUGUUUACUAAAAACACAGGUCCGUGCGAAGUCGCAAGACGAUGUAUACGGACUGACGCCUGCCCGGUGCUGGAAGGUUAAGAGGACCCGUUAACCCGCAAGGGUGAAGCGGAGAAUUUAAGCCCCAGUAAACGGCGGUGGUAACUAUAACCAUCCUAAGGUAGCGAAAUUCCUUGUCGGGUAAGUUCCGACCUGCACGAAUGGCGUAACGACUUCCCAACUGUCUCAACCAUAGACUCGGCGAAAUUGCACUACGAGUAAAGAUGCUCGUUACGCGCGGCAGGACGAAAAGACCCCGGGACCUUCACUACAACUUGGUAUUGGUGUUCGGUACGGUUUGUGUAGGAUAGGUGGGAGACUGUGAAACCUCAACGCUAGUUGGGGCGGAGUCGUUGUUGAAAUACCACUCUGAUCGUAUUGGACACCUAACGUCGAACCCUUAUCGGGUUCACGGACAGUGCCUGGUGGGUAGUUUAACUGGGGCGGUUGCCUCCUAAAAUGUAACGGAGGCGCCCAAAGGUUCCCUCAACCUGGACGGCAAUCAGGUGUUGAG